ACCGGGAUUGCCUUAGUAACGGCGAGUGAAGCGGCAAAAGCUCAAAUUUGAAAUCUGGUACCUUCGGUGCCCGAGUUGUAAUUUGGAGAGGGCAACUUUGGGGCCGUUCCUUGUCUAUGUUCCUUGGAACAGGACGUCAUAGAGGGUGAGAAUCCCGUGUGGCGAGGAGUGCGGUUCUUUGUAAAGUGCCUUCGAAGAGUCGAGUUGUUUGGGAAUGCAGCUCUAAGUGGGUGGUAAAUUCCAUCUAAAGCUAAAUAUUGGCGAGAGACCGAUAGCGAACAAGUACAGUGAUGGAAAGAUGAAAAGAACUUUGAAAAGAGAGUGAAAAAGUACGUGAAAUUGUUGAAAGGGAAGGGCAUUUGAUCAGACAUGGUGUUUUGUGCCCUCUGCUCCUUGUGGGUAGGGGAAUCUCGCAUUUCACUGGGCCAGCAUCAGUUUUGGUGGCAGGAUAAAUCCAUAGGAAUGUAGCUUGCCUCGGUAAGUAUUAUAGCCUGUGGGAAUACUGCCAGCUGGGACUGAGGA
RNAcentral lists this ribosomal RNA (522 nucleotides) under Saccharomyces cerevisiae (brewer's yeast). Its description in RNAcentral is "partial large subunit ribosomal RNA". It matches the Rfam family "Eukaryotic large subunit ribosomal RNA", at positions 68 to 593 of the family's 3401-position model. The record is from RNAcentral. Lineage: Eukaryota; Fungi; Ascomycota; Saccharomycetes; Saccharomycetales; Saccharomycetaceae.